UUAAACUUUCCUCCAUCGUGCCGGAGGUCGCCUCCAACGAUGACAAAGCUUCAAUGCCCACAAUUAAUACAUCAAAUCCUUCAGUUCUUUCCCCUAGGAACGAAUCUCCUAAUGAAAUGGUGUUAUUCCUCUUGAGAAACUUGAAUCGAAACAAACCUCUGAAGAAUCCUAAAAUCCUAAUCUAAAAAUUAAAUCUCACUCUCUCGGAAUCAAAGCCUUAGAGGUUAGGGCCUUGAUUCCCCUAAACCUCUCCUACACUCUAGUAACAAACAUGUUGUGAAACGAUGAAGAAGAGUGGGGGAAACUCACCAGAGCAACGCCAGAAAUCAGGUAUGAAAGCUUCUAAAUCUUCAAAUCCUUCUUCUCCUCCGUCUGAUUCUUCUUCUUCUUUCUUCUUAUGUGCUUCUUUCUUCUUAAAGGGAGAGAGUUUGAAUGGAAAAAUUGUAGAGCUCUGAAUCUCGUUGGAGAGUGAUGAGGAAUGAUUUGGAAUUUGAUGAACAAUGAAUGAAUCCCUUGAAAUGAAUCUGAGAUGUGAAUUUAUAUAGGAGAGGAUUAAUAGAGGGGGUUUAACUCUGUUAAAUGAUUGAGAGGGAAAUUUGUUGGAGGUGAUUAACGGUGUUAACUUGUUAGUUAGGAUUAAUUAGUUUCAGUUAUGAUUCUGUUAUAGUGAAUUGAGCCUAAUGUGAAGUGAAUGAAACGGAUUUGGAAACUCGAGUGGAAUGAGUUAACUGCUUUGUAACUGCUAUUUUUAAUUACUUAGUUCAAGUUAGUUGACUAAGUUAGUGUUAAACUGAGUUUUAAUUUUCUGUUAAAUGUGAUGUUAAUUUUUCAAUUGCUGCUGCUGUGAAUGAUGUACAUUGGUUGCUCGAUUUUGGAUGACAAGUUCAGUUGGCAUGCUAGAUUUUAUUUGGAAAAGUUAUUGUUGAAAAUAGGCCUGCUCGAUUUGUGCAAUGUCAUGCUGGUGUUGAAUUGUUUGCUGCAUGAUCUACUAUUGAAUUAUUGAUGUGACAUGAUGUUAUGAAAUGGUUGCAGGCUUUGUGGUUCAAGGAUGAAACACAUGACUGCUACGAUAUGGCUUACAUGACUGUUAUAAGUCUUAUGUUGGAUUGACUGCAUGACUGUUGUGUUAGAUGAUAGGUAAUGUAUGGCUUGGCUUUUGAUGAUAUGUUGUUAUGCAAACUGAAUUGUUGUUUGAUUGUUAUGUGUUAUAGGAUUUGUGUUACUUGCUUACAUAGGCUUGGAAUUAUGAAUGAGGGUAUGAUGUAAAUGUUAGGUUAAUGCUUUUGGUCAUACUAGGUCUUGAAAGGGUAAUGAUUGUCAUGUUUUUCAUGUGUUAUAAUGCAACGUAUGGCCUUGGUGUGCUUAUUGUUUGGAAAUGUUUUGGUUUUGGUUGUGAAUGCAUAUAUUGGCAAUGUUUGGAAAUACUUGAAAAGGUCAUGGAUAUUGUUUGUUCUUGGUUUUUGUAGGUGAUGUAUAAAUGCAAAGAUGAUGUUAACUUGGAGACCAAGGAAACUAGGAUUUAGGGACUUUAAGGUUGACCAAAAAGUAAACAGUUGACCAAAAGUUAACUUAUGCAAAAAGUUGAAAAUGUCUUUAUAAUUUCUUAUGAUCAUGUAUGGGCAAUGUAACAAUUACUUUUAUGAAUGAAAUGC
RNAcentral lists this long non-coding RNA (1652 nucleotides) under Lathyrus oleraceus (garden pea). RNAcentral describes it as "Pisum sativum (pea) long non-coding RNA (PSAT_LNC038565)". The record is from RNAcentral. Lineage: Eukaryota; Viridiplantae; Streptophyta; Magnoliopsida; Fabales; Fabaceae.